Molecule: long non-coding RNA, 432 nt
Organism: Gymnodraco acuticeps
Lineage: Eukaryota; Metazoa; Chordata; Actinopteri; Perciformes; Bathydraconidae
Exons: 3
Source: RefSeq, a predicted model, not a curated record
AGAGACGUCAAGGUACAUUUCUCCACCAUCUCAUACACCUGCUUUCACAUGUCUUUAUUUUCCAUUUGACCAUGAACAUCACUGUUAUAUUCCAAAUUCUUACAGGGUUAGCCUCACCAAACCACGGGCAAUGACUGUGGUGUCUUCAUACUGAUGUAUGCACUCAACUUCAGCACAGAUGCUCUACUUUGGUUUACCGAGCGGGACAUAGCACAGAUCCGGAAAUGGUGGUGCAUUAUGCUCAUGGAACGGUACCAGAUUGAAGGGUAAAUCAUACAUUUUAAAUGUUACUUUAUAGACAACAGUUUCUUUGACACUGAUUUACAUUUUCAUCCUGAUAUUAUGUGAUUUUUAUAGCCACGGACAGAUCCAGAUUAUUUAACACAUGCAUACAUAUUGAUAAUUGUAUACACAUGUAAUUAAACAAUCACA